Molecule: ribosomal RNA, 253 nt
Filed under: uncultured bacterium
Lineage: Bacteria
Description: partial 16S ribosomal RNA
Rfam family: Bacterial small subunit ribosomal RNA
Source: RNAcentral
UACAGAGGUCUCAAGCGUUGUUCGGAUUCAUUGGGCGUAAAGGGUGUGUAGGUGGCGCCGUAAGUCGGGUGUGAAAUUUCGGAGCUUAACUCCGAAACUGCAUUUGAUACUGUGGUGCUUGAGGACUGGAGAGGAGACUGGAAUUCACGGUGUAGCAGUGAAAUGCGUAGAGAUCGUGAGGAAGACCAGUGGCGAAGGCGGGUCUCUGGACAGUUCCUGACACUGAGGCACGAAGGCCAGGGGAGCAAACGGG